GGCUAACCUGGAUGGCUGUGAAUUGGCUUAAUCUCAGCUGGCAACUGUGAGAUAUUAAUAAAUUCCCUCACAGUGGUCUCUGGGAUUAUGCUAAACAGAGCAAUUUCCUUGCCCUCAUGGAUCAAUAGACUUGCUCAGCAACCUAAAU
RNAcentral lists this microRNA precursor (148 nucleotides) under Vombatus ursinus (common wombat). RNAcentral describes it as "microRNA 216a (ENSVURG00010013889.1)". The stretch from base 21 to 96 matches the Rfam family "mir-216 microRNA precursor family". The record is from RNAcentral. Lineage: Eukaryota; Metazoa; Chordata; Mammalia; Diprotodontia; Vombatidae.